RNAcentral lists this ribosomal RNA (492 nucleotides) under uncultured bacterium. RNAcentral's name for it is "partial 16S ribosomal RNA". It matches the Rfam family "Bacterial small subunit ribosomal RNA", at positions 29 to 507 of the family's 1533-position model. The record is from RNAcentral.
AGUGAACGCUGGCGGUAGGCCUAACACAUGCAAGUCGAACGGCAGCACAGUAAGAGCUUGCUCUUACGGGUGGCGAGUGGCGGACGGGUGAGGAAUACAUCGGAAUCUACUUUUUCGUGGGGGAUAACGUAGGGAAACUUACGCUAAUACCGCAUACGACCUACGGGUGAAAGCAGGGGAUCUUCGGACCUUGCGCGAUUGAAUGAGCCGAUGUCGGAUUAGCUAGUUGGCGGGGUAAAGGCCCACCAAGGCGACGAUCCGUAGCUGGUCUGAGAGGAUGAUCAGCGACACUGGAACUGAGACACGGUCCAGACUCCUACGGGAGGCAGCAGUGGGGAAUAUUGGACAAUGGGCGCAAGCCUGAUCCAGCCAUACCGCGUGGGUGAAGAAGGCCUUCGGGUUGUAAAGCCCUUUUGCUGGGAAAGAAAAGCAGCAGGUUAAUACCCAGCUGUUCUGACGGUACCAAAAGAAUAAGCACCGGCUAACUUCGUG